GAUGAAGAACGCAGCGAAAUGCGAUAAGUAAUGUGAAUUGCAGAAUUCAGUGAAUCAUCGAAUCUUUGAACGCACCUUGCACCCUUUGGCAUUCCGAAGGGUAUGCUCGUUUGAGUGUCAUUGUACUCUCACACUUCCGAUCUUUGGAUUGGGAGCGGUGGACUUGGGUGUUGCUGCUUACUGUGGCUCACCUCAAAUCGAUUCGUGCACCUCUUGGUUGGACAUAGUACGGCGUGAUAAGUGUCUUCGCCGGCACCUCAGUAGAGGGUGGCUGAUCGGGAGCUCUGCUUCAAACCGUCCUCGGACAACAACUGACAACUUGACCUCAAAUCGAGUAGGACUACCCGCUGAACUUAAGCAUAUCAAUAAGCGGAGGA
Molecule: unclassified non-coding RNA, 377 nt
Filed under: soil metagenome
Description: partial contains 5.8S ribosomal RNA, internal transcribed spacer 2, and large subunit ribosomal RNA
Rfam family: 5.8S ribosomal RNA (bases 1-120)
Source: RNAcentral